Molecule: ribosomal RNA, 381 nt
Filed under: Triticum aestivum (bread wheat)
Lineage: Eukaryota; Viridiplantae; Streptophyta; Magnoliopsida; Poales; Poaceae
Description: partial small subunit ribosomal RNA
Source: RNAcentral
AUGAAUCCAAGUCCAUCCAUCCUUUGUUGGAAUGUGAGGGGUUUAAACAACCCAGCCAAGAAAGAUGCGGUCAGGGAGUUUGUAGCCAAUAUCAAAGUGAACGUAGUCUGUCUCUAGGAGACUAAAUUGGAUGUAAUCAAUCGCUAUAUUGUUAUGCAAUGCUUAGGGCCGUCUUUUGACGGUUUUGCUUACGUACCGGCGGUGGAGACCAGAGGUGGUAUCUUGCUAGCUUGGGAUACGACCAUCAUGGAGAUUGAUCACUUUCAGCGCGGCAAUGACUUUAUCACGGGCCAGGUCCACACCCGUUCAGGGGCGAGUUGGUGGCUAACUGUGGUCUACGGACUGCAAGGAGACGCGCUUAAAACUGCACUCCUAGAAUAA